This 555-nucleotide long non-coding RNA is filed under the name Calidris pygmaea (Spoon-billed sandpiper). RNAcentral's name for it is "lncRNA (ENSCPGG00000004898.1)". The record is from RNAcentral. Lineage: Eukaryota; Metazoa; Chordata; Aves; Charadriiformes; Scolopacidae.
AUUUCUAGUAAAAGCAGGAGUCCAACAUUCUGCCUAAUUGGCUUUUCUGUUUAAUUUACAGUACAUUAAGGAAAGGCUGGUCUGAAGCUCAGUAGUACCAUUGGUUUCCUCAUGGUUGCUUCAUUUUGAGCACGUCUCAGUACAAGGCAGGCAACUUUGUCUAAGGCUGUUUGGAAAUGGAAAUUAAUAUCAAUACAUUCUCCUUUCACCGGUGUUUUGGUGAACUUUUCAGGAAGCAUGAAGGAAAGGAAUGACAUGAUUUUUCUUUACAAAAGUGCAUCUACACACUGAUUUAGCAAACUGCAUAUGAAAGGAGGGAUGUAAACAGACUUUGACUGUGCCUAUAUGGAGAUCUUGGACCCUGUUAUGCCUUGUAUUGAUCUGGAGGUCAACCAGAACAUGCUUAUUCUGGAGCAGAACAAUAAGAUGGAGAUAACAGAACAGGUACCUGAUCCCUUGGCUGAGUAUAAACUGGGACCCAAUCCAUUGCUUUUUGACGUCAAUAAGACUGUGGCUCUUUCAAGGGCGUGCAUUUAUCUUGUCAAUGUGGUCUAA